ACUCUGAUCCAGCCAUGCCGCGUGCAGGAAGACUGCCCUAUGGGUUGUAAACUGCUUUUAUACGGGAAGAACCACAUCUACGUGUAGGUGCUUGACGAAAAAAUAUGAAUAAGGAUCGGCUAACUCCGUGCCAGCAGCCGCGGUAAUACGGAGGAUCCAAGCGUUAUCUGGAAUCAUUGGGUUUAAAGGGUCCGUAGGCGGGUUUAUAAGUCAGUGGUGAAAGUCCGUCGCUUAACUGUAGAAUUGCCAUUGAUACUGUAGACCUUGAAUUAUUAUGAAGUGGUUGGAAUGAGUAGUGUAGCGGUGAAAUGCAUAGAUAUUACUCAGAACACCGAUUGCGAAGGCAGAUCACUAAUACUAUAUUGACGCUGAUGGACGAAAGCGUAGGUAGCGAACAGGAUUAGAUACCCUGGUAGUCUACGCCGUAAACGAUGGUCACUAGCUGUCCGGCCUAAUUGAGGGCUGGGUGGCCAAGCGAAAGUGAUAAGUGACCCACCUGG
Molecule: ribosomal RNA, 500 nt
Filed under: uncultured Christiangramia sp.
Lineage: Bacteria; Pseudomonadati; Bacteroidota; Flavobacteriia; Flavobacteriales; Flavobacteriaceae
Description: bacterial SSU rRNA
Rfam family: Bacterial small subunit ribosomal RNA
Source: RNAcentral